UCCCUGGUAGCUCAAUGGUAGAGCGGCGCCCUGUUAAGGCGAUGGUUGUAGGUUCGAAUCCUACCCGGGGAGCAA
The sequence is a transfer RNA, 75 nucleotides long. It matches the Rfam family "tRNA". From Rfam's summary of the family: Transfer RNA (tRNA) molecules are approximately 80 nucleotides in length. Their secondary structure includes four short double-helical elements and three loops (D, anti-codon, and T loops).